AUGGUGAAUUUUCUGACUGCAGGGAUGGCAGGCUCCCAGCCCACCGACACCGAAUCGUUCGAGUACAUGCUGCUGGAGAAGGACCCCGAUCACUACCGGACGGUCUUCUCCGGCCCGAGCCAGAUAAGCCCGUGGAUCGACCCGGCGGUGCUGAAUCUGAAGCACCGGAUAGGGAGAGGCCCCUUCGGGGAUGUGUGGAUAGCGACACACCACCAGAGGACGGAGGAUUAUGACCGGUACCACGAGGUCGCCGUGAAGAUGCUGCACCCGGUCAGGGACGACCAGCUGCAGGUGUUCUCGGCGAGGUUCGACGAGGUGUUUGGCAAAUGCCAGGGCCUGGGCAAUGUCUGCUUCCUACAUGGCAUCUCGACGCAGAAUGGGAGGCUUUGCAUAGUGAUGAAGUUCUAUGAAGGAUCCGUCGGGGACAAGAUGGCUCGGCUUAAAGGUGGAAGGCUCCCUUUGUCAGAUGUUUUAAGAUAUGGCGCUGAUUUGGCACGUGGUGUGCUGGACCUACACUCCAGGGGAAUAUUUGUUCUUAAUCUCAAGCCUUGUAAUUUUCUCCUUGAUGAUCAUGACCAUGCUGUGUUGGGGGAUUUUGGGAUUCCAUCCUUGCUGUUUGGGCUGUCGCUGCCAAACCCAGAGCUUAUCCAAAGACUUGGGACUCCAAAUUACAUGGCCCCAGAGCAAUGGCAACCAAACAUCAGAGGUCCAAUUAGUUACGAGACAGAUUCAUGGGGCUUUGCCUGCAGCAUUCUUGAGAUGUUCAGUGGCGUUCAGCCUUGGCGUGGCAAAUCACCAGACGAGAUUUAUCAGUUGGUUGUCCUGAAGAAAGAGAAACCGAUAUUCCCGUACAAUUUACCUGCAGAGGUUGAGAAUGUCCUUUCUAGCUGCUUUGAGUACGACUUUCGGGAUCGCCCCUUGAUGUCAGAUAUCUUACAAGCAUUUGAAAGUGCUAAAGAUGUGGAUUAUGACAACAAUGGCUGGGAUAGUUCUGAAAACCCAAGGGCAGUAGUGCCAAGUCACACUAAUUGGUCACACUUCAAGGAUAAGCUGCAAGUUGGUGACAAGGUCCGCUCGAGAAAGGUUAAAAACUCUUGUACUCCUGAAACAAUGGAAAUCCCUGAUGGAACCAUAGUUGGCAUGGAGGAUGGAGAACGCGAUAGCUACAUUCUUGUACGAGUCCAUGGAAUACAUGACCCUCUGAAGGUCCGUUCCUCAGCAGUGGAGAGGGUGACCUAUGGUUUCGCUGCCGGAGACUGGGUAAGGCUUAGGGAGGAAGACAAGAAGCGGUCUCAGGUCGGAAUUCUUCAUAGCAUUGACCGUAAUGGCACCGUGUAUGUUGGUUUGAUAGGAAUGGACACCCUGUGGAAGGGGGAAUAUUCAGAUCUGCAAAUGGCCGAAGCCUACUGCAUGGGACAAUUUGUGAGGCUCAGAACUAACACUUCAAGCCCCCGGUUUGAAUGGCCGCGAAAGAGAGGCGGAGUGUUCGCCAUAGGCCGUAUUUCACAGAUACUCUCGAAUGGAUGCCUUGCUGUGACCUUCCCUGGCAAAUUCAGCCUUGGCGAAGUGUGCAGCUGCUUGGCCGACCCUUCAGAGGUGGAGGUGGUGAGCUUCGACAAGUGCGAGGGCGUUGUGAAGAAGUAUGAGCACCUCGAGGACUUCCAUUGGGCGGUGAGGCCUCUGUUCAUUGCCAUAGGUUUCUUUACUGCUAUGAAGCUAGGUGUCUUUGUUGGGAAGAGCAUCACAAGGCCAAGGAGUCGAAAGGUCGCCAGCGUCUCUGAUCAGGGUGCCGAUCCUCAGAAAGUUCAGCAGCAAGAAGUGCACAACAGUGUCAGCACGGCAUGGCUCCCUCCACCCGUCGCAAACAUGCUUUUCGGGGACGGUCCUGCGCCUUCCGGGUAA
This 1902-nucleotide ribosomal RNA is filed under the name Triticum aestivum (bread wheat). RNAcentral describes it as "partial small subunit ribosomal RNA". The record is from RNAcentral. Lineage: Eukaryota; Viridiplantae; Streptophyta; Magnoliopsida; Poales; Poaceae.